Molecule: unclassified non-coding RNA, 200 nt
Filed under: Tomentella sp.
Lineage: Eukaryota; Fungi; Basidiomycota; Agaricomycetes; Thelephorales; Thelephoraceae
Description: partial internal transcribed spacer 2
Source: RNAcentral
UUAAGUUCAGCGGGUAGUCCUACCUGAUUUGAGAUCAAACAUCUAAAAGGCCAUCUCUACAACGAGCGAUGUGCAUUUAUUAGCUCCAGCGACCUCCAUUGCUGAAGGUUACCUGGGAGGACAACACAAGCGUAGAUAGUUAUCACACCUGUGAUGCCACCAAACACUGGAAAGCUGAUUCAUUUAAGAGGAGCUGACCA